GGAAGUAUGGGAGAGCGGUGGAAACCAGCCCUCUGCUUAGGGGCCGAGCCUCAAAAGAUUCCGAAAGUUCGAAUUUUUCUGCUUCCG
Molecule: transfer RNA, 87 nt
Filed under: Bacteroidales bacterium
Lineage: Bacteria; Pseudomonadati; Bacteroidota; Bacteroidia; Bacteroidales
Description: tRNA-Ser
Source: RNAcentral